This 2031-nucleotide long non-coding RNA is filed under the name Sus scrofa (pig). RNAcentral describes it as "lncRNA (ENSSSCG00000055401.1)". Lineage: Eukaryota; Metazoa; Chordata; Mammalia; Artiodactyla; Suidae. The record is from RNAcentral.
AUAUAUAUACAUAUAUACUUUUUUUUUUUUUCGUUUUUAAGGGCCGCAUCCGCAGCAUAUGGAGGUUCCCAGGCUAGGGGUCUAAUUGGAGCUACAGCUGCCGGCCUAUGCCACAGCCACAGCAAUGUAGGAUCUGAGCCGCGUCUGCGACCUACACCACAGCUCAUGGCAAUGCCAGAUCCCUAACUCACUGAGCGAGGCCAGGGAUUGAACCCGAAAUCUCAUGCUUCCUAAUCAGAUUCAUUUCUGCUGCCCCACGAUGAAUUUAAAAGGCUGGUUAUUGUCAUAAAGGCUUAUGGAUAUGUACCAUGCACCUACAGAAAGAGGAAUAAUUUUUUCACUUAAGGUACCAAAUAAACCAGUAAAAGCCUCAUUCUCCUUUCUGGCCCUUUCCUUCCUCUGACCCCGCCCCUCCCCCAUCCAUGCAGGGGUUGCUUGGGCAGGUUCUAUAAGCAAAUGAGGAAAACAAAUGGUGGUUCCAACACAGUCCCCAGUGCUGUGUCAUUUGACUACGAAAGCUGACCAUGCCAGACCCUGGAGCAGAGUCCCCAGGAGCCACACUGAGAAAGGGUCCAGUUUCCCAUCACUAGAAGCAUUUCCUCAGGUCACAUAUUUCACUGAUGAUACAGAAACCACUGGCUGCUUGCAGUGGCCAAGUUUUCCGAGACUGGUGGAGGUGAGACUCAGCUCAUAUCUUGGAGGAAAACCCACGCAAGUACCCAUGGCAGCCCUUCUUUCCUUCCUCUCUCACUCCCGAUAGCAGCCUUCAGCUGCCUGUGAUUUCACAGGGGCGUGUGUGUGUGUGUGUGUGUGUGUGUGUGUGUGUGUGUGUGUGUGUGUAUGCCAGUGACAUCAGAUAAGAAAUUGUCUUCAGCAGCUUAAGAACCCACAAAACUGUGUCUGGCCCAGACAAGGCACCAAGGAUUAGGCCGAUGACAAUACAUUAAUCUCUCAUGGCACUGCUUCAAAAACACUAUCUAUUUCUCCAACAAGUUAAUUCACAAACAGCUUUUCCACGUCUUAAACAGCUGGAUUUUGUUUUUCUGGAUUAUACUUUUCACCCCUUCCCAUGGAUCUAUCUUGAAAAAUCAUCUAUUAGCAUCAGGAUGCAGUGAAAAGGACAGAAACCUUGGCGAUAAAAAGAUGAAUGAUGACAUAUUCGCCAUUGAAUUCUGGAGAACUUUCAUAACAUCCGCAUGCCCUCAGUUUUCUCACCAACAAAGAAAACUGCAUAAGAACCUCCCCCAGGGUUGGAGGGAAGACAAAAGAACACUAUGUGCACAGCACCUUGCGCCACGUCAAGGGCAUGAAAGUUACCCGGCCAGCGGUCCUGUGCCCUAUGACCUAGACCCCAUUUCUGCAACUUCGAAGAAAGUAGGAGGUAUCCAAAAACUCCCCUGCUGACGGAUAUUCAAAUCUUUAUAGAAAUUGCCAUGUCAUCUCCAGAAGGCAUAUAAUAACUUGCAACCCAGAAGAGAGAGACUAAACCUCUGAUUAAUUAAAAGCGUCAGGUGCAUGUGAAAAUUCCUGUUGGACGUUAAAGCAGCUAGUGACAGGGUUUGUAAAGGAAACGAUUAAGGGAAUUCACCGGCCAGGGCACAACCGUAUUAAAUGCUAUUCUUCUGGUCGAGUCCAUCAGGAAAUGGUAUGGUCUUCAUCGUUUCCUCCAACUGCAUCACUCCCUUCACAAAGCAAACACAACCAAAAGGAUUCAGGUGUUGCUUCUGUAUUUUUUACGCUCAGACUUAUGUUGCUGCCUGACCUAAAAGACAAUUUUAUCUAACUAAGUUAUAGAUCAUUAAGCUGAAAAAAAAAAAGUUUGCUUGUUACUGCUGUUUUACCAUCUUGCCCCAUCUUGUCUCAUUAGCAGGAACUGAUUGAGCAUGAAGGUGUUCUCUGGCUGUCAGUAGAUAAAGUAGGUGCUCUUGGCUUUCAUCUGUUCUGAAUUCUCCUUGUCUCAUUAUCUUCCCAAGGUCAGAUUCUCUGACACGGCGGCUGCUUGCUUAGCACUUCAUUCUGGCAAUUACUCGC